This is a long non-coding RNA of Culex pipiens pallens (northern house mosquito), 540 nucleotides long. RefSeq lists it as uncharacterized. Lineage: Eukaryota; Metazoa; Arthropoda; Insecta; Diptera; Culicidae. The transcript has 2 exons. The record is from RefSeq and is a predicted model, not a curated record.
GCUAAAUCACUUUUAUGGUUCUUAUCAAACUAAGCAGUCAGAGUCGUUUGGGGAUCCACAGUGGACAGAGGUGGUCUUUGGUGGCUUUGGUUAGUUGCUUGGCAUUUUUAGCAUUCAAAAAAUGAGCAAACAUUUACAAGUUUCUUUAAUCUUCAUCUUCCUUUUGGUCAUCGGAAUAGCACAGCCAAUCAUUAAUGACUCAAAAAUGGAAAAUUCGGCCCGAAAAACCAGACAAAUCAACAUUAGCUUAGAUCCAAUUAAUGCAGCUCUUGGAACGUUUCGGACGGGUGUAGAAACGGUUAGAUCUAUCAAACAUCUCGUGGAUGAUUUCACCCCUACAAAGAAAAACAUUCGCGUUGCAUCCGUCGACUUGGAUUAUUAUGAUUUUUAAAGCAAUAUUCAGUACUGAUAACUUAUGUCGAAUUUAUGUGAUCCUAUAAAACAAUGUGAUUAUUUCAGUAAAAUAUGGUAAUAAAAAGUGUAAGUUAAACUAAUUGAAAGUGUAAAAUAUUCAAAUAAAAAAUAAUUCAACAAAAAAAA